UACAGAGGUCUCAAGCGUUGUUCGGAUUCAUUGGGCGUAAAGGGUGCGUAGGUGGCGGGGCAAGUUUGGUGUGAAAUCCCGGGGCUCAACCCCGGAACUGCACUGAAUACUGCCUUGCUAGAGCACUGGAGAGGGAACUGGAAUUUACGGUGUAGCAGUGAAAUGCGUAGAUAUCGUAAGGAAGACCAGUGGCGAAGGCGAGUUCCUGGACAGUUGCUGACACUGAGGCACGAAGGCUAGGGGAGCAAACGGG
RNAcentral lists this ribosomal RNA (253 nucleotides) under uncultured bacterium. Its description in RNAcentral is "partial 16S ribosomal RNA". It matches the Rfam family "Bacterial small subunit ribosomal RNA", at positions 524 to 776 of the family's 1533-position model. The record is from RNAcentral.